This 372-nucleotide ribosomal RNA is filed under the name uncultured organism. RNAcentral's name for it is "partial 16S ribosomal RNA". It matches the Rfam family "Bacterial small subunit ribosomal RNA", at positions 527 to 896 of the family's 1533-position model. The record is from RNAcentral.
GUAGGUGGCAAGCGUUGUCCGGAAUUAUUGGGCGUAAAGCGCGCGCAGGCGGUUCUUUAAGUCUGAUGUGAAAGCCCACGGCUCAACCGUGGAGGGUCAUUGGAAACUGGAGAACUUGAGUACAGAAGAGGAAAGCGGAAUUCCACGUGUAGCGGUGAAAUGCGUAGAGAUGUGGAGGACACCAGUGGCGAAGGCGGCUUUCUGGUCUGUAACUGACGCUGAGGCGCGAAAGCGUGGGGAGCAAACAGGAUUAGAUACCCUGGUAGUCCACGCCGUAAACGAUGAGUGCUAAGUGUUAGGGGGGUUUCCGCCCCCCUUAGUGCUGCAGCUAACGCAUUAAGCACUCCGCCUGGGAGUACGGCCGCAAGGCUG